GAAAGAUUCUGUGUGCAUGUACAUGUUAAACAAGCAUGUUUGACUUCAAGGCUUCAUUUAGCAUUACAAGAUGACCACUUUAUUGACAGGUGACAAAGCUGUGAGAUAUACAGGUAGUCCUAAAAGAGUGCUAACAAAUCUUCUGUGAACUAUCUAAAAUAACACAAGGAUAAAGGUCUUCCUAUAAGAUAUUUCUUUGCUGUCUGUGAGGAAUAUGUUGUUUUCAACUUUAGUUCCUGAGGUGAAUUUCAGGCUGUGGCACCUGUAGGUGAAAUAUUUACAGAUCAGUUAAUAUAGAUGGAUGCAGUCAGAGAAGAUGAACUGCGGUUAAAAUACUGUGAUUAAAAAUACUGUUAUGUUUGGUAUUUCAGCUGGCUAUGGAUGCGUAUGGAAAAAAAAGGUGAUGCAGGCUAAAAUGUACUUCUACUGCAGGUUGUUGCAUACAAUUACAGGCCUUUAUCCUGACUUUUUCAUAGAAUCAUAGAAUGGCCUGGGUUGAGAAGGACCACAAUGAUCAUCGAGUUUCAACCCCCCUGCUAUGUGCAGGGUCGCCAACCACCAGACCAGGCUGCCCAGAGCCACAUCCAGCCUGGCCUUGAAUGCCUCCAGGGAUGGGGCAUCCACAGCCUCCUUGGGCAGCCUGUUCCAGUGUGUCACCACCCUCUGGGUGAGAUUGUCCCCUCCAGCCUGUAUGUCUUACCUAAUCUGUCAAAUCUCCUCGUGGAGAGUAGGACCUCUGUCACUGCAUUUCAGAACAAGGCACUCUAUAACUGGCAAAUACUGGUGCAAAAACGUGAAUCUUUUUUUACCUGUUGCAUCCACUUUAGCAAUCUCUACUGGCUUCAAAAUAUGCAUGUAAUCCUAUACUGAAUAAUCUCUUUUCAUAUAGCCUGUGCUAAUCUUAACACUAUGAUGUCAUCCAAAAUCCACAGUAUUGGUGAAACAUGUUUUAAUAUUCCAGCUCUUUUGAUCAUCCCUCGUAAAUCAAUCCCUCAAUCUCUUUAAUUAUUUUAAUUGCUCUUCUUUAAAUUCCCCUUGAGUGUAAUUUUCUAAUAGGAAGAUUUCCCAAAAUAUCCCAGGCAUGACUUAGUUAAGUAGUAGGCAAAGAGUAGUCAUGCCAAAGGAACGGAAGAGAAAAAUCUGUUAGUUUCUUCCUCAGUGAUUCACUUCACUUGGAGGGGCAUCUGUGGGCUUUCUGAUAUGUCUGCUCUGUAAGACCACAUAUAAUUUACUGUCUGCUUUCACUCCUACAGGUCAAUACUGCAGAUUUCUUCCUUUUGCUGAAUGUUUUCCUGUGGCUAUACCAAGAUUUCCAAGCUCUUCAGAUGAAGUCCAGUGCUGAUCCAUAAAAUUCCCAACCACAUAAAAAAGAAUAGGCUGCAGAAUGCCAUGAAAUCACCGAUACCGUCGUAUUGUUCCCAUUAGAUCUCGUUUCUGCAGAUUCCUGCAAGAGAGGAGCCAAGAGCUGUAACGUUCGUAGUGCCUGACAACAUUAAUCAUCGAUCCUAUUGCGAACUGCUUCUGGGUGGGAUGUUUCUGGGUUUGUAACUACAUAUGGCUCCUAUCAUUUGCGGCUUCCGCAAGCAAUUCUAGUUAUCCUUCAUUAAAAAGACUUUAAAUAAAA
Molecule: long non-coding RNA, 1624 nt
Filed under: Gallus gallus (chicken)
Lineage: Eukaryota; Metazoa; Chordata; Aves; Galliformes; Phasianidae
Description: lncRNA (ENSGALG00010003642.1)
Source: RNAcentral